AUGGACGCCAUUGAGGAGUGCAGCAGGGGCAGCAGCCAUGGGCGGCGGCCGCAGCUGCAGCUUGGCUCGAGGAUACUGGUCGGCGUGCCCAACAACUCCCGGGGAUGCUCCGAGCUGCUGUCGUGGGCGAUCAGGGUCGUCGCCAAGCCCAACGAUUCCGUCGUCGCCGUCCAUGUCCUUGGAGGGAGGGGGAGGAAGAACAGGCUCCAGAAGGCGAACGCCUUCGUCAUCUACAUGCUCGGGGAGUUGGUGGAGACAUGCGAGGCUAAACAGGUCAAUUUGGAGGCCAAGGUGAUCUGCAGCUCAAGCAUUCCAAGAGCCCUGGCCCGGGAAGCUGAACAGACUGAUGCAAAGUUUCUAGUCGUUGGAAGAUCAAGAAGUAAAUAUCACAGGAAUCACUUUGAGGUUGCAAACUACUGCUUCAUGCACGCUCCGAACAGCUGCUCGGUGAUCGCGGUCGGAAGGGAAGGCCUGGCACAGACCCAGAGCAGCAACCGACUCAAGUCCCAGUCAUUUGAUGAAGCUCAAACUGCAGGCAGCAGCAACAUCUCCUCAAGUUCAACAUGGAGCAGAAAAUUAACAAAACUACUUCGAUCAAGCUCGAUACGCAAGCAGGCUGACGGCGACGAGGAAGACAAGAGCUCGCCGAGGGCGGUUCUUGAUGGACCAGAGGGAGGGGAACCCCUGCAGGUCACUGAAGAGUGCUACAACAGCACAUGUAGCAAUGACACGAUGAGCCGGCGUGGCCACAGUGGCAUAUGGAGACGGCUGUCGGACAUGAAGCUCUGGCUUCCGUUCCUGCGAACCGUCGACGACGAAGGCGCGAAAGCCGGCGACGGCUGCUCCACGUUCUCCGAGGAUCAGAAACCUGCCUGGAAGUGCUACAGUUACCAAGAGAUUUCAGUUGCUACAGACGACUUCAGUCCAGAUAAUAUAGUGGGGAGAGGGGGCUAUGCAGAAGUGUACAAGGGCGUACUGUCUGACGGCCAAUGCAUAGCAGUGAAGAGGCUGGCCAAGGGCAAGCCCACUGAGCAGAAGGAGAAGGAGUUCCUGUCGGAGCUAGGGAUCCAGGUGCAUGUCUGCCACCCGAACACGGCCGACCUGCUCGGAUGCUGCGUCGAGAACGGGCUCUACCUGGUCUUCGAGCUCUGCGCGAACGGGACGCUCGCAUCGGCGCUCCACGGGAACAGUGGGAAGGUCCUUGAGUGGCCUCUGCGGCAGAAGAUCGCGGUGGGUGUCGCGAGGGGUUUGCAGUAUCUGCACAUGUUCUGCAGGCACCGGAUCAUCCACCGCGACAUCAAGGCCGCUAAUAUCCUCCUCGGCGAUGAUUCUGAACCUCAGAUUUCUGACUUUGGGCUGGCAAAGUGGCUUCCAAAACAAUGGACCCAUCACUCUGUCGUACCCAUAGAGGGCACAUUUGGGUAUUUGGCGCCAGAAUACUUCAUGCACGGCAUCGUCGAUGAAAAGACAGAUAUAUUUGCCUUCGGAGUUCUUCUGCUAGAGAUCGUCACCGGAAGGCGGCCCAUCGACUGCUCCAAGCAGAGUCUUCUUCAGUGGGCAAAACCUCUUCUGGAGGCCGGGCAAGCGAUCGAGCUUGCAGACCCUGAACUCGGCGAUGACUACGACAAGGACCAGCUGAAGAGGAUGGUCACCGUCGCGUCACGCUGCAUCAUGCGGCCCGCAAUGUGGCGGCCAUCGGUGUCGGAGGUGCUGCACUUGCUGUCUACCAACGAUGAGUGCUUGGAGGAGCCUGAGAAAUGGAACAUUCCGGAGGACGAGGUCAACGACAUGGAUGAUUGCACGUUAUUUUCUGAAUCUUGCUCUCUGUGA
This 1830-nucleotide ribosomal RNA is filed under the name Triticum aestivum (bread wheat). RNAcentral's name for it is "partial small subunit ribosomal RNA". The record is from RNAcentral. Lineage: Eukaryota; Viridiplantae; Streptophyta; Magnoliopsida; Poales; Poaceae.